This 2923-nucleotide ribosomal RNA is filed under the name Klebsiella pneumoniae. RNAcentral's name for it is "23S ribosomal RNA". It matches the Rfam family "Bacterial large subunit ribosomal RNA". The record is from RNAcentral. Lineage: Bacteria; Pseudomonadati; Pseudomonadota; Gammaproteobacteria; Enterobacterales; Enterobacteriaceae.
GGGUUGUGAGGUUAAGCGACUAAGCGUGCACGGUGGAUGCCCUGGCAGUCAGAGGCGAUGAAGGACGUGCUAAUCUGCGAAAAGCGUCGGUAAGGUGAUAUGAACCGUUACAGCCGGCGAUGUCCGAAUGGGGAAACCCAGUGCAAUUCGUUGCACUAUCGUUAACUGAAUACAUAGGUUAACGAGGCGAACCGGGGGAACUGAAACAUCUAAGUACCCCGAGGAAAAGAAAUCAACCGAGAUUCCCCCAGUAGCGGCGAGCGAACGGGGAGCAGCCCAGAGUCUGAAUCAGCUUGUGUGUUAGUGGAACGGUCUGGAAAGUCCGACGGUACAGGGUGAUAGUCCCGUACACCAAAAUGCACAGGCUGUGAACUCGAAGAGUAGGGCGGGACACGUGGUAUCCUGUCUGAAUAUGGGGGGACCAUCCUCCAAGGCUAAAUACUCCUGACUGACCGAUAGUGAACCAGUACCGUGAGGGAAAGGCGAAAAGAACCCCGGCGAGGGGAGUGAAAAAGAACCUGAAACCGUGUACGUACAAGCAGUGGGAGCACCUUCGGGUGUGACUGCGUACCUUUUGUAUAAUGGGUCAGCGACUUAUAUUCUGUAGCAAGGUUAACCGUAUAGGGGAGCCGCAGGGAAACCGAGUCUUAACUGGGCGUUAAGUUGCAGGGUAUAGACCCGAAACCCGGUGAUCUAGCCAUGGGCAGGUUGAAGGUUGGGUAACACUAACUGGAGGACCGAACCGACUAAUGUUGAAAAAUUAGCGGAUGACUUGUGGCUGGGGGUGAAAGGCCAAUCAAACCGGGAGAUAGCUGGUUCUCCCCGAAAGCUAUUUAGGUAGCGCCUCGUGAAUUCAUCUUCGGGGGUAGAGCACUGUUUCGGCUAGGGGGUCAUCCCGACUUACCAACCCGAUGCAAACUGCGAAUACCGAAGAAUGUUAUCACGGGAGACACACGGCGGGUGCUAACGUCCGUCGUGAAGAGGGAAACAACCCAGACCGCCAGCUAAGGUCCCAAAGUCAUGGUUAAGUGGGAAACGAUGUGGGAAGGCACAGACAGCCAGGAUGUUGGCUUAGAAGCAGCCAUCAUUUAAAGAAAGCGUAAUAGCUCACUGGUCGAGUCGGCCUGCGCGGAAGAUGUAACGGGGCUAAACCAUGCACCGAAGCUGCGGCAGCGACACUAUGUGUUGUUGGGUAGGGGAGCGUUCUGUAAGCCUGCGAAGGUGUGCUGUGAGGCAUGCUGGAGGUAUCAGAAGUGCGAAUGCUGACAUAAGUAACGAUAAAGCGGGUGAAAAGCCCGCUCGCCGGAAGACCAAGGGUUCCUGUCCAACGUUAAUCGGGGCAGGGUGAGUCGACCCCUAAGGCGAGGCCGAAAGGCGUAGUCGAUGGGAAACAGGUUAAUAUUCCUGUACUUGGUGUUACUGCGAAGGGGGGACGGAGAAGGCUAUGUUAGCCGGGCGACGGUUGUCCCGGUUUAAGCAUGUAGGCUGGUUGUCCAGGCAAAUCCGGAUAAUCAAGGCUGAGGUGUGAUGACGAGGCACUACGGUGCUGAAGUAACAAAUGCCCUGCUUCCAGGAAAAGCCUCUAAGCAUCAGGUAACAUUAAAUCGUACCCCAAACCGACACAGGUGGUCAGGUAGAGAAUACCAAGGCGCUUGAGAGAACUCGGGUGAAGGAACUAGGCAAAAUGGUGCCGUAACUUCGGGAGAAGGCACGCUGGUGUGUAGGUGAAGUCCCUGCGGAUGGAGCUGAGACCAGUCGAAGAUACCAGCUGGCUGCAACUGUUUAUUAAAAACACAGCACUGUGCAAACACGAAAGUGGACGUAUACGGUGUGACGCCUGCCCGGUGCCGGAAGGUUAAUUGAUGGGGUUAUCCGUAAGGAGAAGCUCUUGAUCGAAGCCCCGGUAAACGGCGGCCGUAACUAUAACGGUCCUAAGGUAGCGAAAUUCCUUGUCGGGUAAGUUCCGACCUGCACGAAUGGCGUAAUGAUGGCCAGGCUGUCUCCACCCGAGACUCAGUGAAAUUGAACUCGCUGUGAAGAUGCAGUGUACCCGCGGCAAGACGGAAAGACCCCGUGAACCUUUACUAUAGCUUGACACUGAACAUUGAGCCUUGAUGUGUAGGAUAGGUGGGAGGCUUUGAAGCGUGGACGCCAGUCUGCGUGGAGCCAACCUUGAAAUACCACCCUUUAAUGUUUGAUGUUCUAACGUUGGCCCCUUACCGGGGUUGCGGACAGUGUCUGGUGGGUAGUUUGACUGGGGCGGUCUCCUCCCAAAGCGUAACGGAGGAGCACGAAGGUUAGCUAAUCCUGGUCGGACAUCAGGAGGUUAGUGCAAUGGCAUAAGCUAGCUUGACUGCGAGCGUGACGGCGCGAGCAGGUGCGAAAGCAGGUCAUAGUGAUCCGGUGGUUCUGAAUGGAAGGGCCAUCGCUCAACGGAUAAAAGGUACUCCGGGGAUAACAGGCUGAUACCGCCCAAGAGUUCAUAUCGACGGCGGUGUUUGGCACCUCGAUGUCGGCUCAUCACAUCCUGGGGCUGAAGUAGGUCCCAAGGGUAUGGCUGUUCGCCAUUUAAAGUGGUACGCGAGCUGGGUUUAGAACGUCGUGAGACAGUUCGGUCCCUAUCUGCCGUGGGCGCUGGAGAAUUGAGGGGGGCUGCUCCUAGUACGAGAGGACCGGAGUGGACGCAUCACUGGUGUUCGGGUUGUCAUGCCAAUGGCACUGCCCGGUAGCUAAAUGCGGAAGAGAUAAGUGCUGAAAGCAUCUAAGCACGAAACUUGCCCCGAGAUGAGUUCUCCCUGAGACUUUAAGUCUCCUGAAGGAACGUUAAAGACGAUGACGUUGAUAGGCCGGGUGUGUAAGCGCAGCGAUGCGUUGAGCUAACCGGUACUAAUGAACCGUGAGGCUUAACCUUACAACGCCGAAG